This is a long non-coding RNA of Enhydra lutris kenyoni (northern sea otter), 1095 nucleotides long. RefSeq lists it as uncharacterized. NCBI's taxonomy places the organism in Eukaryota, Metazoa, Chordata, Mammalia, Carnivora, Mustelidae. The record is from RefSeq and is a predicted model, not a curated record. The transcript has 3 exons.
ACUUCUUAUUGCCAGCAGCUGAGCCUGAAGAGGUUUAAGUGAACAUGUUGGACUUCUGCUUACAGGCGACUGACUCAGCCCCUAGGAACCACUAUUUUGCUCUGUUUCUGGGAGUUUGACAGUAAAGGAGAUGAUCUUCCAUAAUGCAGCUGGGCCUCAUCCAGUCAACAGAAGGUCAAAAGAACAGAAGACUGAGGUUUCCCAAAGAAGAAGAAUUCCCAAAGAAGAAGAACUCAAGGCUCGAGUUUCCAGCCUGCUGGCUCUACAAAAAUUUUGGACUUACCCGCCCGCUAAUCAUGUGAGCUAAUUUAAAAUCAGUCUUUAUCUAUCAAAUGACAGAUAUUUAGAUAUAGAUAUCCAUCCUAUUGGUUCUUUUCCUUUGGAGGACGAUGACUGACACAGGAAGGUAUCUUCCCGCCCUAUGAUGUUCCUGUGUGACACGUGAAACUCUCAACAGCCCCACGGGUGGCCAUUCACUCUGAUACUGUGCAGAUUCUCAUGGGCCAUAGACCUCUGGAGCCACGGUGACUUCCAACAAGAUCAGGCACAUAGCUGGCGCUUCAUAAAUAUUUAAAGGGAAGUUGAAUGCAAUGUAAAGAGGCGCUAAACUUCUUUCAUAUGGUUGUUCUCUCUUCCAGUAAUGUCUGCUACAAUCGAUGUACAACUUCUGUUUCCUUUGCAGGGCACACAUGUGUUCUUUCUCUUGGGGACCUGCUGGACCCCAGGAGCUGCGGGGAAACACCGCAGUUGCUAUCUGAGCUGGUGCUCUUGCUGCUCUGCCCUGGUUAGGCCCGAUUCUUCAUCACUGCCUGGCUUAGGCUCCUGGGCUGGGCACAGCAAGGAAGUCACUGUCUUUGGAUUUUCAGGACACCUGGAGUUUCCUUAGACUUCCUUUAUGCCGCCUAACCUCUGCCCACUGCCACCUAGACUCCCCCUCCCAGGUGUUGCUGGUGGCUGAACUUUUAGUUCGGAAUAAAACCAAGCCAUUUUAUUAAUUGUCAGCUGAGUUGCAAAGUCUAGGAUGACAAAUGAGCCCCGAGACUGAAACCUCUGAGCUGUCUAGAUUUUGACUAAAUCUUUGAACCCGAGAGCGAA